GAUGAACGCUGGCGGCGUGCUUAACACAUGCAAGUCGAACGAAGCACCUCUCCCGAAGAUUGACACAGCUUGCUGUAGAUUGAUUCAUUUGAGGUGACUGAGUGGCGGACGGGUGAGUAACGCGUGGGUAACCUGCCUCAUAGAAGGGGACAACAGUUGGAAACGACUGCUAAUACCGCAUAGUAAGAAGAAUUCGCAUGUUUUCUUCUUGAAAGAUUUAUCGCUAUGAGAUGGACCCGCGUCUGAUUAGCUAGUUGGUAAGGUAACGGCUUACCAAGGCGACGAUCAGUAGCCGGCUUGAGAGAGUGAACGGCCACAUUGGGACUGAGACACGGCCCAAACUCCUACGGGAGGCAGCAGUGGGGAAUAUUGCACAAUGGGGGAAACCCUGAUGCAGCGACGCCGCGUGAGUGAAGAAGUAUUUCGGUAUGUAAAGCUCUAUCAGCAGGGAAGAUAAUGACGGUACCUGACGAAGAAGCCCCGGCUAACUACGUG
RNAcentral lists this ribosomal RNA (495 nucleotides) under uncultured bacterium. RNAcentral describes it as "partial 16S ribosomal RNA". It matches the Rfam family "Bacterial small subunit ribosomal RNA", at positions 28 to 507 of the family's 1533-position model. The record is from RNAcentral.